RNAcentral lists this ribosomal RNA (2900 nucleotides) under Streptococcus pneumoniae. Its description in RNAcentral is "bacterial LSU rRNA". It matches the Rfam family "Bacterial large subunit ribosomal RNA". Lineage: Bacteria; Bacillati; Bacillota; Bacilli; Lactobacillales; Streptococcaceae. The record is from RNAcentral. RNAcentral also lists the same sequence under 2 other names.
UUAAGUUAAUAAGGGCGCACGGUGGAUGCCUUGGCACUAGGAGCCGACGAAGGACGUGACAAACGACGAUAUGCCUUGGGUAGCUGUAAGUAAGCGAUGAUCCAGGGAUUUCCGAAUGGGGGAACCCAACAGGUAAUACCUGUUACCUACAUCUGUUAAGGAUGUGAGGAGGAAGACGCAGUGAACUGAAACAUCUAAGUAGCUGCAGGAAGAGAAAGCAAAAGCGAUUGCCUUAGUAGCGGCGAGCGAAACGGCAGAAGGGCAAACCGAAGAGUUUACUCUUCGGGGUUGUAGGACUGCAAUGUGGACUCAAAGAUUAUAGAAGAAUGAUUUGGGAAGAUCAGCCAAAGAGAGUAAUAGCCUCGUAUUUAAAAUAGUCUUUGUACUUAGCAGUAUCCUGAGUACGGCGGGACACGUGAAAUCCCGUCGGAAUCUGGGAGGACCAUCUCCCAACCCUAAAUACUCCCUAGUGACCGAUAGUGAACCAGUACCGUGAGGGAAAGGUGAAAAGCACCCCGGGAGGGGAGUGAAAUAGAACCUGAAACCGUGUGCCUACAACAAGUUCGAGCCCGUUAAUGGGUGAGAGCGUGCCUUUUGUAGAAUGAACCGGCGAGUUACGUUAUGAUGCGAGGUUAAGUUGAAGAGACGGAGCCGUAGGGAAACCGAGUCUGAAUAGGGCGCCUUAGUAUCAUGACGUAGACCCGAAACCAUGUGACCUACCCAUGAGCAGGUUGAAGGUGCGGUAAGACGCACUGGAGGACCGAACCAGGGCACGUUGAAAAGUGCUUGGAUGACUUGUGGGUAGCGGAGAAAUUCCAAACGAACUUGGAGAUAGCUGGUUCUCUCCGAAAUAGCUUUAGGGCUAGCGUCGACAUUAGAGAUUCUUGGAGGUAGAGCACUGUUUGGGUGAGGGGUCCAUCCCGGAUUACCAAUCUCAGAUAAACUCCGAAUGCCAAUGAAUUAUGGUCGGCAGUCAGACUGCGAGUGCUAAGAUCCGUAGUCGAAAGGGAAACAGCCCAGACCACCAGCUAAGGUCCCAAAAUAAUUGUUAAGUGGAAAAGGAUGUGGGGUUGCACAGACAACUAGGAUGUUAGCUUAGAAGCAGCUAUUCAUUCAAAGAGUGCGUAAUAGCUCACUAGUCGAGUGACCCUGCGCCGAAAAUGUACCGGGGCUAAAACAAUUUACCGAAGCUGUGGAUACCUUUAUAGGUAUGGUAGGAGAGCGUUCUAUGUGUGAUGAAGGUAUACCGUGAGGAGUGCUGGAACGCAUAGAAGUGAGAAUGCCGGUAUGAGUAGCGAAAGACAGGUGAGAAUCCUGUCCACCGUAAGACUAAGGUUUCCAGGGGAAGGCUCGUCCGCCCUGGGUUAGUCGGGACCUAAGGAGAGACCGAAAGGUGUAUCCGAUGGACAACAGGUUGAUAUUCCUGUACUAGAGUAUGUAGUGAUGGAGGGACGCAGUAGGCUAACUAAAGCAGACGAUUGGAAGAGUCUGUCUAAGCAGUGAGGUGUGAAUUGAGUCAAAUGCUUAAUUCUAUAACAUUGAGCUGUGAUGGGGAGCGAAGUUUAGUAGCGAAGUUAGUGACGUCACACUGCCAAGAAAAGCUUCUAGCGUUUAAACAUACUCUACCCGUACCGCAAACCGACACAGGUAGUCGAGGCGAGUAGCCUCAGGUGAGCGAGAGAACUCUCGUUAAGGAACUCGGCAAAAUGACCCCGUAACUUCGGGAGAAGGGGUGCUGACUUUAAGUCAGCCGCAGUGAAUAGGCCCAAGCAACUGUUUAUCAAAAACACAGCUCUCUGCUAAAUCGUAAGAUGAUGUAUAGGGGGUGACGCCUGCCCGGUGCUGGAAGGUUAAGAGGAGUGCUUAGCGUAAGCGAAGGUAUGAAUUGAAGCCCCAGUAAACGGCGGCCGUAACUAUAACGGUCCUAAGGUAGCGAAAUUCCUUGUCGGGUAAGUUCCGACCCGCACGAAAGGCGUAAUGAUUUGGGCACUGUCUCAACGAGAGACUCGGUGAAAUUUUAGUACCUGUGAAGAUGCAGGUUACCCGCGACAGGACGGAAAGACCCCAUGGAGCUUUACUGCAGUUUGAUAUUGAGUGUCUGUACCACAUGUACAGGAUAGGUAGGAGUCUAAGAGAUCGGGACGCCAGUUUCGAAGGAGACGCUGUUGGGAUACUACCCUUGUGUUAUGGCCACUCUAACCCAGAUAGGUGAUCCCUAUCGGAGACAGUGUCUGACGGGCAGUUUGACUGGGGCGGUCGCCUCCUAAAAGGUAACGGAGGCGCCCAAAGGUUCCCUCAGAAUGGUUGGAAAUCAUUCGCAGAGUGUAAAGGUAUAAGGGAGCUUGACUGCGAGAGCUACAACUCGAGCAGGGACGAAAGUCGGGCUUAGUGAUCCGGUGGUUCCGUAUGGAAGGGCCAUCGCUCAACGGAUAAAAGCUACCCUGGGGAUAACAGGCUUAUCUCCCCCAAGAGUUCACAUCGACGGGGAGGUUUGGCACCUCGAUGUCGGCUCGUCGCAUCCUGGGGCUGUAGUCGGUCCCAAGGGUUGGGCUGUUCGCCCAUUAAAGCGGCACGCGAGCUGGGUUCAGAACGUCGUGAGACAGUUCGGUCCCUAUCCGUCGCGGGCGUAGGAAAUUUGAGAGGAUCUGCUCCUAGUACGAGAGGACCAGAGUGGACUUACCGCUGGUGUACCAGUUGUCUUGCCAAAGGCAUCGCUGGGUAGCUAUGUAGGGAAGGGAUAAACGCUGAAAGCAUCUAAGUGUGAAACCCACCUCAAGAUGAGAUUUCCCAUGAUUAUAUAUCAGUAAGAGCCCUGAGAGAUGAUCAGGUAGAUAGGUUAGAAGUGGAAGUGUGGCGACACAUGUAGCGGACUAAUACUAAUAGCUCGAGGACUUAUCCAA